UACGUAGGGGGCGAGCGUUGUCCGGAUUUAUUGGGCGUAAAGAGCUCGUAGGCGGUUUGGUAAGUUGGAUGUGAAAUCUCCAGGCUCAACUUGGAGGGGUCAUUCGAUACUGCCAUGACUAGAGUUCGGUAGGGGAGUGUGGAAUUCCUGGUGGAGCGGUGAAAUGCGCAGAUAUCGAGGAGGAACCACCCGUAGCGAAGGCGGCAGCUCUGGGCCGGAACUGACGCUGAGGAGCGAAAGGCGUGGGAGCGAACAGG
RNAcentral lists this ribosomal RNA (257 nucleotides) under uncultured bacterium. Its description in RNAcentral is "partial 16S ribosomal RNA". It matches the Rfam family "Bacterial small subunit ribosomal RNA", at positions 524 to 776 of the family's 1533-position model. The record is from RNAcentral.